Long non-coding RNA from Harpegnathos saltator (Jerdon's jumping ant), 361 nucleotides. RefSeq lists it as uncharacterized. NCBI's taxonomy places the organism in Eukaryota, Metazoa, Arthropoda, Insecta, Hymenoptera, Formicidae. The record is from RefSeq and is a predicted model, not a curated record. The transcript has 3 exons.
AAGAUUACCAAAGUCUAAGGUUACUGUGUCCUUGAAUGCGUCCCAGUAAGCAAAGUUGAAUCACAUCCUAACGUCAAAUAUCAGAGUAAGAUGUGUUACUAGCAGUGUAAUGACAGAUUAAUGCAUCAAACUAAGAAUAGGAAACAGGAUGUUUUGCCUAUGUUUGCCUCUGCAAAUAAGGUUAUUGUGAUUUACGGCCAAGAAUGAUGAACUUUUUCCCAAAAAUUGAGGAUCGGUCCUUAAAGAAGACAACUACUAAAAUUAGUAAAAUGAAAAAUAAAAAUCAUAUGAAUGGAAGAUGCAAGAGUCACGAGAAGUCAAGGAUCACAAAGAAAAUAGAAAGAUGAAUUAAAAUCGGAUC